UACUGGCAGGAUCAACCAGGUAGCAUUCCUUCGCGACGCCAACGCCCGCAUGAGGCCCAACGAGCCGCACGGCCGUCGGACGCUCAAGACGGGAGCAGCAGUCGUUCGUGUCGAUNGACAAAAUGCGUUGCUCGGGCAAACGAAGGCCGAGAGACCCCGCGCCCGCGCAUAACGUUCUGCAUCCGAGAGCACGGGCAGAGCACCUCAUGGGCCAAGGCAACCACGCAACUGGGCGAGGCAUGCCAGGAGCACGAGGCCUGCCUGACGUCCACCCCACCACCCGUGA
This 286-nucleotide unclassified non-coding RNA is filed under the name Protium javanicum. Its description in RNAcentral is "partial external transcribed spacer". The record is from RNAcentral. Lineage: Eukaryota; Viridiplantae; Streptophyta; Magnoliopsida; Sapindales; Burseraceae.